ACGAAGGGUGCAAGCGUUACUCGGAAUUACUGGGCGUAAAGCGUGCGUAGGUGGUGAGUUAAGUCUGUCGUGAAAGCCCCGGGCUCAACCUGGGAAUGGCGGUUGAAACUGGCGAACUAGAAUCUGGCAGAGGGGGGUGGAAUUCCACGUGUAGCAGUGAAAUGCGUAGAGAUGUGGAGGAACACCGAUGGCGAAGG
Molecule: ribosomal RNA, 197 nt
Filed under: uncultured prokaryote
Description: partial 16S ribosomal RNA
Rfam family: Bacterial small subunit ribosomal RNA
Source: RNAcentral